This is a small nuclear RNA of Mustela putorius furo (domestic ferret), 112 nucleotides long. The record is from Ensembl. NCBI's taxonomy places the organism in Eukaryota, Metazoa, Chordata, Mammalia, Carnivora, Mustelidae.
CUUUGCUUUGGCAGAAGGUAUGCUAAAGUUAGAACAAUGCAGGGAAGAUUAAUUAUUAACAUGGCCCCAGUGCAAGUAUGAUAUGCAAAUUUAUAAUGCAUUGUAGAUUAAA